Molecule: unclassified non-coding RNA, 338 nt
Filed under: Hevea brasiliensis (rubber tree)
Lineage: Eukaryota; Viridiplantae; Streptophyta; Magnoliopsida; Malpighiales; Euphorbiaceae
Source: RNAcentral
UCAGUUUCUUUUUCUUUGUGUAUUCUGAUUUUUUAGCGAUUGUUUGAUUGUUGGUUCCUCAGUUAUGGUGUUUGGUUUGAAGGAAAGAUGGGAGUUACUGAAAAUAAAUAUUUUUCUUUUUUAAGUAAAAAUUUGGUAGCUUGGUUUUUAGAUUACGGAUUUUCAUUUGUUAGCUGAGUUGUCUCAACGCUAAUUCCUUUUGGAGAAGCAAAGCGGAUUGUCAUUUUGGUGUAGUUUGUUGGAUUUCUAACUUUUCCAAUGUUUUUCUCAACAACUAGAUGUAGCAUCUUGAUUAUUCUGUUCUGACAUAUGUUAGGCCUUGCGAUUUUUGGACAACG